Molecule: unclassified non-coding RNA, 301 nt
Filed under: Zea mays
Lineage: Eukaryota; Viridiplantae; Streptophyta; Magnoliopsida; Poales; Poaceae
Description: misc RNA Zm00001eb061580
Source: RNAcentral
GCGGCGGUGUGGAUCCCGGUCGGUGGCGCGUGGCCUUGGCUCCACGACGACGGUUGCGUGCGGAUCCAGUCAGUGGCGGCGGCCACAACACUGUCCGUGCGGGUGAGGUCCGGGUCAUGGCGGACCGCCCUGGCGGCGGCGGCGGCGUGGAUUCAGGCGGAUCCGCCAGCGGCGGCGCGGAUUCGGGCGGACAACCACGCCCCUGACCUCCUAUACUGUUCACGCCAGCGCUGGGGAGGAGAACCUGUGCAUGGGGAAGGCACCUACAUGAGGGAGAAGCUCCCUGUGGCUACGAAUGGAG